This 64-nucleotide transfer RNA is filed under the name Poeciliopsis hnilickai (Upper Grijalva livebearer). RNAcentral's name for it is "tRNA-Cys". It matches the Rfam family "tRNA". Rfam says of the family: Transfer RNA (tRNA) molecules are approximately 80 nucleotides in length. Lineage: Eukaryota; Metazoa; Chordata; Actinopteri; Cyprinodontiformes; Poeciliidae. The record is from RNAcentral.
AGCCCCGAGGUGUUACACAUCAGAUUGCAAAUCUGAAGAAGCAGGCAAUAACCUGCCGGGGCUU